CCUACGGGUGGCUGCAGUGAGGAAUAUUGGUCAAUGGACGCAAGUCUGAACCAGCCAUGCCGCGUGCAGGAAGACGGCCCUAUGAGUUGUAAACUGCUUUUGUACGAGGGUAAACGCAGAUACGCGUAUCUGUCUGAAAGUAUCGUACGAAUAAGGAUCGGCUAACUCCGUGCCAGCAGCCGCGGUAAUACGGAGGGUUCAAGCGUUAUCCGGAUUUAUUGGGUUUAAAGGGUGCGUAGGCGGUCGGAGAAGUUAGAGGUGAAAUCCCGAGGCUCAACUUCGGAAUUGCCUCGGAUACUGGUCGGCUAGAGAGUAGUUGCGGUAGGCGGAAUGUGUGGUGUAGCGGUGAAAUGCUUAGAGAUCAUGCAGAACACCGAUUGCGAAGGCAGCUUACCAAGCUACUUCUGACGUUGAGGCACGAAAGCGUGGGGAGCGAACAGGAUUAGAUACCCCAGUAGUC
This 460-nucleotide ribosomal RNA is filed under the name uncultured bacterium. RNAcentral's name for it is "partial 16S ribosomal RNA". It matches the Rfam family "Bacterial small subunit ribosomal RNA", at positions 338 to 795 of the family's 1533-position model. The record is from RNAcentral.